UCCGCUUGUAGUACUUACAACUCGCAAUGAAAACGUCCCCUUUACGGAUUCGAUAAUAAUAAACUAAGAAAUAGAUCAUCAAUUUGCAAAAAUACCUGAGCGCCAACUAAAUUUCAGUGCUGGCGUUUUUUGUUUACAUUUUAACAACAAGAGAUAUAAGGUGACAUACAAGUCUUGAGGAUGGUUAGGUUAAGUUCGGGAGUUCUUUCUCGAAAGAUACAGGCACGACUGGCCAAAUAUGUUCUUUCCGCGUCGUAAAUUCUCUGAUCGGAUAAAUUCAAAUAAUCACGAAGACUACUGAGCACAGAGGAGAAAUAUUUUUCCUCUGCGACGUUAAUAUGCUUUACUUCACAACGCAGUGCAAACUUUGCCUUGCAGUAAGCAGAUCGUUGGAGACUUUAGUGUCGAACGAACUCGGUGAUGUAUAAUUCCCAUGGAGCACUGAAACAAGUAUUCAAGGAUUGUUUGAUUUCCUUUUCUUUGAUGCAUUCAGAAGUGUAGCAAUUGCAGGUAAGAUCAGCAAUUAUUGUCUUUAUCUCCCCUCAUUUGAACUGCUGUUAACAGGCAACCACACUACAGCGGAGAUGAAGGUGAUCUCUGCAGAUCUCAUUAAGUGUGGCAAAUUUCAUUUCCCAAAGAACAUUAAUGGCUUUUCUGAGCAAGUUAAUUUCAAGAUCAUGAUUAUUCCUCAUACUUAGAUUAUAUUUAAUCAGUUAAUUUAAAAAAAAACAUUUGUCAAGGUGAAAUUUGUCUCCCAAUCAUCAUCCAGGUCUCUAGAUUAUAGUACAGCAAUUUAAUUCUUACCAAAAAGGUUUCCCUCCCCUCUUUGAAGAUAUUAUUGCAUCUACUUCAAACUGGUUUUCAGGUUGCACAUCAUUUCAAGUUAUAAAACUCUUAUGUUGCCUUCAGUUCUUUAGCAAACAGUUUAAAAACUUUUGUGCUCUGGUUAAUAUCUAUCUGGUUUACACAUAGAAAGAAGCAGUUUGGCCCAUCAAGUCUAUGCUGACAUUCAGAGCAAUCCCAUUCUGCCACUAAUUGUCCCUGCAAUCUAUUCUCCUUAUAUUUCCCUUCCCCUCCAGCUUCCACUAAUCACAUGCACACAGGAGAAACAUACUGAGACUAUCCUAACAGCCCACAAACCUUUGGGUCACUGAAGGAAACUGGUGGGGUGGGAUGGGAUAAGGUGCGGAAGAUGAUGAACCCACUCAGUCACAAGGAGAACGUGCAAAUUCCACACUAAUGGUAUCAGAGAUCAGGAUUGAAUGCAAUCCUGUUGUGAGACAGCAGUUCUACUACAUCGUGCUGCUCUCCUUACAAAAGAAAUCCUUUCUGAUUUAUUCCCUCAAAAUUAUGAUUUUGAGAAAGCCUUUAAAAUCUAAGGAAUAAAACAACAACCUUUCCAUAUCACUGAACUUUUGUACUUUCUCCCUGUGAACAUGUGGGUUUCCUCCAGGUGCUCCGGUUUCCUCCCACAGUCCAAAGACAUAUUGAUUGGUAGGUCAAUUGGUCAUUGUAAAUUGUCCUGUGUUUAGGCUAGGAUUAAAUUGGGGGAUUGAUGGACAGCAUGGCUCGAAGGGCUGGAAGGGGCUGUUCUAUACUGUAUCUGAAUAAAAAAAUAAAAUCCACUACUACUUUCACUGAAGCAUUCUAUCUGACUCUUCCUGUGCUUACCAAAAUGCCUCUACUUUCUUCUUACUGUGAUGUGUUGAAAUAAACAAAGUAAUCCACUAAGUCCUAAACAGUAUUUUGGAUAAAGACUUAACAUAACUUCUUUGCUUGGCUGAAAGUUCUCAACAUGUAUUUCUUCAGAUGUCGAAUGUACCUGCGGUUUCUAAAUAACAAAGGGAAUAAUUUGCAUGGUCAUUCAUUUUAAAUCAACACUUGUCCAUAGCCAUCUGGUUUGAAUCAUGAAAUUCAGAAUAUUAACCUAGCCAUGCUUCUAAUGCAUUUGGCCUUUCAAAUCUCCAGCAAUCAUCUAUAAUGUUUCAAGGAAGCCCUUAAGAGUGCUUUUCAUUUAGACUCAACAUACUCACAAUGAGGUUCGGGAUGUGGUCAACUCUUCCAAACAGCUUGGAUCUCCAGACACAAUGCACUCACUGUGUUCUGAUGGGUUCAAUGUGUAACUGGUCCAAUUUGAACGACCUACAUUAUCUGUGUGUCUCACAGACUCAAUCACAGCUUCUAUCUCACAGUUGUCAGACUCUUGAAUGAUCCUCCCAUGUGCUACAUAAGAACAUAAGAAAUAAGAGUAGGAGUAGGCCAUCUAGCCUAUCGAGCCUGCUCCGCCAUUCAAUAAGAUCAUGAAUAAGAUUGAAAAACCAUUGGAUAUGAUUCAAUAAGAACACAAACUCUUUAACGCCUGAUCUUCCAAUCAAUGUCACCUUUGCACUUUAUUUAUCUACUGUAUUUGCACUGCUCUUUAUUUAUAAUUGCACCACUAUAUCCUGCAUUAUCUUCUUACUAGCUGAUGUAAUUCAUCAUGGCAUGAUCCCUUUGUAAGUCACUUGAAUCAUAGCUUUUCACUGUACAUACGAUAAUAAUAAACCAAUGGUUCAUUUUUAUAAAGGUGAUGUUACAUCAUGAGACAUAGAACUAAUUAUUUACAACAGUUUUCCAUGACAAUGGUCAUCAGCAAAGAAAAUGGGAUGUUUCUCACAAAAUAGGUUUAUUACAAUAUUGAAUGAUAAAUGUGGUUUGACAACACAGAGGAGUGAGGUUUCACUGCUGCAGGAUUGAGAAGAUUGGCGCUCCCUUCCAUCUUUUCAUUCUGUGUGAGAUGGGUAAGCAAAUGAGGAGAAAGUCCAGGAUGAAAUAUGGGUUGAUGGAUUUCACUUAUGAGCUUUUCAAGGAUAACAAAGGGAAUUCUACAUCACUGUUUAGUGACAUAUUGGAGAAUCUUCAGUCCCCUCAGUCCAUGCGACUUCCAGUACUGAAGGAGGGUCCUGGCCCAAAACAUUGACUGUAUUAUUCAUUUCCAUAGAUGUUGCCUCACCUACUGAGUUCCUCCAGCAUUUUGUGUGUGUAACCUUUAGAGUAUUUCAGUUGGUCACAUUACCCACCUUAUUUUUCCCUUCAACUGGUAAUCUUUCAAAUCCCCAUCAACCUUCCCUCAAUUCGCAUGCCAGUCACCCAUACUUGGGUCAUUUUCAGAAGCCAAUUAAUCUAACAACCCAAUAAAUGAAAAUCUGUAGUUGCUGGAAAUCAAGAAUAAAAUUCAAAAAUUGUAGAAACCUUCUUUUCCCCCUUUUUGCAGGAUGAAGAGAGGCUUGGACCUGAAACAGUAAUUAUUUUACUUUACUCACAGCCAAGUGUUUCCAGUGUUUUCUGUUUUUAACCCUAAUAAUCAGCACAUACUGUGGAUGUAAUGAGACAAAACUAGAAAUCUUGGGAGUAAACCAAAGCUGUCACAGAGACAACAUCACCUCCAUACACAUAGAACUGGAGGGCAGGAUUUAGUGGGAUUUAAAAUUAAUGUAAAGAUUAAUUUUACAUUAAUGUUUAACUCUAGGUUAAAAACAAACAAUGAUGAAUUUCCAAGAGACAUAAUUGAUUCAUGGAACUUGAGGGUACUUAGAACUGCCAAAGUCAGCUGAAAAAAAAACUAUAUCAGCAAGGAAAUAUUUUAAAUUAAAUUGCUCAAUUUUAAAUUUAACCCACAAAAUUCAACACUUCGUACUCUCUGCACAUGGUUACUGCAAAACACAAAAGUUUCCAUCAUUUAUGUGAACGACAAGAUAUCUGAUUCUGAUUCACUUGAAACACUUAUUAUUUAACCAUCUUAAUUCAUAUUUUUAUUUUGAACAUCCAACGUUAGGAGGGGUCACUGACUCAGAACAUUGGCUCUGUUUCUUUCUCCACAGAUGCUGUUUUAUAAGCUGCGCACUUCCAGCAUUUCCAGGUUUUGUUUCAGAUAUCCAAAACCUGCAGAAUUCUACUUUGCCAUACCUGUCUCACUCUGAUGCGAGGCUAUCCACAUUAACUGCGCUUUUAUUUCUCUCCACAUGUGCUGUCUGAUAUGUUGGACUUCUUGUUUUAUAUUUCCAGUAGCCACUAAGUUCUUUUUGUUCAAACCCAUCUUGUGGAAUGACUGAAUCAGCUGAUACAGUGUCCAACUCCAUUUUAAUUAAUUUGCCAUUCACUUCUGUGGUAUGUCUUAUUGCUUGCCUAUUGUUAGUGUUCACUUGUAAAUCUCAAGACCAUCCAGUCCUGUGUCACACUCAUCAGAUUUUUCAUCAACAGUAUGCAGAUUAGUGCUCUUUUCAAAACUGUAACUCAAUUUGUUGUUUUUUUUUCUCUUCCAGCUGCAGUCCAUUUAUUUUCAUCUGCCAACAAGCUCUUUGUGUCCUACUUUGUUGCAUUUUCUGCAAGUUUCACUUUUAAACCUGCAUUGGUUCGGUGAAUGUGAGCCCCUGCCACAACAAUAACACAAUAUGUUUGGCAGGCUGGUUUCUAUUUCAACAUUUCAAUUUUGUUCAUGCUCACUUUCAUUCUAGACUGCAACUUUUUUUUCAACUACUCUUUUAAAUGUACGUUAUGCUACAGUUAGGCGCCAUUUUUGAAUGCUUUCCUGUAAGAUUCCACAAAGUUAGUAAUCUCUCAGUGCAUUAUUAAGUCCGUUAUCAAACUAACAACGCUCAAACUUUUAAAUUCAGCCAUGUACACUCAAAUGGACUUGCCUUCCUUUUGAUUCUGCUUAUAAAAUCCAAAGCUGUUCUGCAACCAACAAAGGUUUCAGUUCUAGAUGCUGUACUUUCACGAUAUCAGCAAAGCUCAUUUUGGCUGGUUCAGUUGGAUCAGUUAACUUCUUUUUAAGCAGCCUUUAAACCCAAUGCGCUCAGCAAAACUAGCACCCAUUUCUCAUUGGCUAUUUCAUUUGCUUCUAAAAGCUAUUCAAUUAGCUCAGCUUACAUGCCCGUUGAACAAUCAAACAUGUCAAUUUUUCCAAUGUAGCCGGACAUUUCUGCUCUUUCUUUCAUGAUUAUUAUCACCCAAUACUCAUGUUUAUGAACCUGUGAUUUCUUCUGCUUUCUGCCUUUUUUCACUUGACAGUCUCUGUUUGCUUUUGUGAACCGACACCUGCCACGCUGCUUUUCAUUACUUGACCGUUUCUCACUGAGCUUCUUUAUAGCUCAAACACCUUGCUGUGCUUCAACAGGUAGUUGUCUCGGUUUCAUUUUUUAAAUACCUCGUCGCCACUGUUAUGUUUUGUAAAUCCAAAACAUAAAACUAAUUUAAGGGAAAAGAUGGAGAAUCCAAAAUGCUAGUCCAACUUAGUUUUUACUUUAAGUGAGGCGCACACAUAUCACGUCGUAGUGUCAUGACAGCUUGGUCAUUUUGUCCUAGUUUGGGUGAGCUCAGACCUUGGCCACUGCUAACUGGGACGAUAAAACCACAACAUGCAAUAAAUUUGAGGAAUUCACCACUGAGAUGCGUCAGGUUUUUGACCAUCCAGAAAGUGGAAGGGAGACAGCAGAUUGGAUACUUCACCUACAUCAAGGCUCAGGCACGAUGCUGGAUUACACUGUGGAAUUCAGGACCCUUGCAGCUGGAACGUGGAAGCAUUGCUGGCCCAUUAUCAUCAUGGCCUCUGGGAGCACACAGGAGAUGAGCUGUCUACCCACCCAGGAGAUGCACAUGGACCUCAAAAGCCUUAUCACUCUGCUCUCUGAAUUGUCAAGCGUCUUAUGGAAUGACCCUCCAGAUCAUCAGCCAGAAUCUCAUUUCUGUUCCCAGAACCACUUCAGACUGCAGACCCUCAUCUUCAAUGCCUCCAGAACCCAUGCAGUUAGGGAGAGUUCCCUUAACCCCUCAAGAGUGUGAGUAUUGUUGGAGAAACAACCUGUACACUUACUACUGAGCCACUAAUCACCCACGCAUCAAAUACCCACUACCUCUGGGAAAACAGCACCAUAAGGUAGUGACAAGGGACCCUCUAUCUGCUAAGUUCCCCCAGCUGCUUAUUCCAGCACCAUAGCCUGAUUCACUCUCUCUGUCCUACUCUACACCCCAAAGGCUCUACGUACAAAAGAGGCUCUAGUCUAGUGGAUUCCCACACUACAGGCAACUUUCUGGGUCAGACUCUGUGCGUGCAACAUGGACUCCCUACCAGGCCUAUCUGUCACCCCUUCUGCAUCACGUCUAUUGAUGGGCGUCCAUUUGGGUCUGGGAUGGUCAGUGCAAGCACACGGCUUGAGCACAUGAGCACUGGAGAGCACCGUGAGUCCAUUCAGUUCCUCGAUGACACAACCAACACUCCUCUCAUCUUGGGUUACCCCUGGCUCUCCACUCAUGACUCUCACUUUGCCUGCUAUCCGGUUCACUGCUGAAUUGGAGACCCACCUGCCUGCAACCCCCGCUGACCUCGCCACGUAAAUCCGUGGUAAUGGAGGACACCCUUGAUCUCACAAAACUCCCAAAAGAAUACCAUGACCUAGCCGUCGCUUUCAGUAAAAGGGAGGCCUGCACCCUGCCGUCUCACAGGCCACAUGACUGCAUGACCAACUUCCUCCUGGACACCACCCCUCCUUGAGAUCCUCCGUUCUCCCUCUCCCCAACCGAGACCCAAGCCAUGAAUGACUACGUCGCUGAAGUACAACUUCAUUCAAUCAUCCCAGUCCCCAGCUGAUGCAGGGUUUUCCUUUAUUAAGAAAUGUUGGAAGCCACUGUUUUUUUAAUAAUACUUUUUAUAAGAUUUGUACUUUUUAAGAAACUUGUGUAUUUUUUACAGUAUGUGGUGGCUCAUCCCCACUCACUGGCAGAAAGUGGUAUAGCAGCUAAACUAAUGGUUUGCCACCUCUCUCACUUUCAUUGGCUAAGUAUUAGCACAUUACCCAUGUGAUAUAAUUGUUUUAAUUAUGUAGCCUAUUAACUUGUUUAUCCUAUCUAAGAAAUAUCUUAUCUAAUCUAUGGAAGUGAUGGAUUUUUCAGAGGCACCAUCUUGGCUUCUUCUUGUAUCUUUCACUUUCACAUUCAUUCUACCACUCAGCAUCAUUUUUCAGCUCUCUAUUUAGUUUGCUGAGUAUUUGUAUGUUUGUACUCUAAAAUAAACUGAAAUCGUGGAAUUAAGACUAUUUGUCAUUCCUGACUAAGGAUCAGAAAAUAAACAGAGAUCCAACAGAAGAAAGAUAGUGGCAUUUGUCCCUGCAUUGACUACCGUGGACUCAACAAAUUACCAUUAAUCUCUCCCCUUGAUGGAUAGCACAUUCAAAACACUCCACAGGACCUAGGUCUUCACCAAAUUUGAUCUACAGAGCAUGUACAACCUGAUCUACAUCCACCAGAGGGAUGAUUGGAAGAUACUGUUCAUAACACCCACUGGCAGCUACAAAUACUUGGUAAUGCCUUUCGGACUUUCCAACAGUACAGCCACCUUCCAAGCCUUCAUCAACAAGAUCCUCUGACAGUUAUCUUCAAAGGUAUGCAUUUGUCUGCCUAAACAACAUCUCAAAGGACCCCCGAGGCCACAUCUGUCACAUCGGUCAGCCAUUCAGCAUCUUCUUGAACAGCAACUGCACUGCAAGUUAGAAAAAUGCCAGUUCCACGUCCGGGCAUUACCAUAGUGGGGCUACGUCCUUUCACCCCAAAGCAUAAUCAUGGACCCAGAGAAAGGGCGUGCCAUCAUUGAAUGGCCCUGACUGCACUCUGUCAACCAGCCACAGUGCUUCUUAUAUUUCCCCAGCUUCUACUGCCAGUUCAUUUAGAAACUAUAGCCAAAUUGCUGGUCUUCUCACAUCCCUCACCACAUCACCUACCUCACAAAUAACCUAGUCCGCUACUGUGGACCUUGAUUUCAAGGAGCUCAAGAGACAUGUCACCACCAUUUCCACCAUCCUAACCCUCUGGAGAUUUUGUGAUAGAGGUAGGCGCAUCUGACAUGAGCACAGGGGCCAUCUUCUCCCAGCAAGGACCAGACAGGAAGACAAACCCUUGUGCUUUCUCAUGCAAGUUCAACUCUACAUGGUGUUGUUAUGGAGUUUGAGACAGGGAGCCACUCACCAUCAAGCGGACCUUGGAGGAAUGGAGGCAUUUUCUGAUGGGAAAACACUGGAUCCUUUCUGAUCCAGACUGACUGCCAGAAACUCAUUUCGAUUCAGCAGACCCACCAACUCAACAUACAUCUGGUUUGCUGGGAACUCUUCUUCAAGCAAUUCAACUUCACCUUGUCCUACCCAGUUCCAAUAACACUAAGGUGGAUGCCCUGUCAUGAUAGUUCAACUCAGCAGAAACCAAGAUCAACCAUCAGCCCAUCAUUCCAUCCUCUCAGAUUCUCACCCUGAUAGUUUGGGACUUUACAAGCUAGAUCCACCGGGCUCUGCAGCAUGAGCCCGCUUCAGUCAACACACUAGGCAUGGCCAGCAGCAUUGUGUUCGGAGACACUCCAGUGGGCCCAAUCCUAACCCCUCUCUAGUUGUCCAGGCGCAUGACAGACUCUGGAUUUUCUGUUUGCCACCUUCAGAUGGAGGCACCAUGGUCAUGAGAGAGGUGGACUGGUUCUCCAAAGCAGCCCACUUCAUUGCUCUUCCCAAAAUUCUGACAGCCACUGAGAUGGUGGACCUGGUUCUCCAACAAGCAGUUUGCCUCCACGGAUUCCCCCAGGUUGCACUGGGGCCUACAAUUCAUCUCCCACUUCUGGCGAGUUUUCUGCUCUCUCCUCUGCACCUCAGUGAAUCUGUCCUCUGGCUAUCAUCCGCAGACUACAGAGAGUCAGAAAGAAUCAAUUAGCAAGUGGAGAAUUUUGCGGGGUUUCUCCGCCCCUAACCUUUCCACAUGAGGCUGGUUGUUCAGAGUGAGCAAUUGUUGUGGAUGAAGCUGUUUCUGUCAGUUUUAUCUCGAAUCCAUCGCUUAACGAGGAGUUACACCAGAACCGUCCAGAUCACCCUUGGCCGUCAGGUGUCAGCCAUGGGAUUGGGUGGAGGGGGGGUGUGGGGGGGGAGUCCUGUUAGGCCAGUUCAGUCUGGCACAUCCCAGUCUCCACCCAGUUAACAAGAAUCACCUACCACUCAUUUCCAACUCAUCACCUGCAGCCUAUUUAAACCCAACUCUCAUCCACAAUCCUUGUUUGCUCAACAAACCAGCCAGCUUCAACCUAGUCAUUCAUUACUUUGUUGCCUUAGUGUGUUUUGUAUCUGAUCUCUCUUGUUUUAUGGCCUCUCAUGACUUAUUAUUUUACAGUUUAUUAGUAAAAUUAUCACUCACUGAUAAAUUAUCUCUGCUGCUCUGCAUUUGGGUCAAGCCUCCUCUACAUUUCCUGACAGACUUGGUGGACACGGACAUUUGUAGCAAUGAGUUCCACUGAAUCACUACCUUCCGGUGAAAGAAAUUCCUCCUCAUCUCUGUUCUAAAGGGAUGUCCUUCUACUCUGAGGGUGUGCCCUCUGGUACUAGACUCUCCCACUAUUACUAUCAGAUUUAUUAUCAAUAACAUACGACACUAUAUUUAUUAUUAUGUAGUAGCAUGACAGUACAAAAAGCAUAAAAAUACACAAAUUCAAAAAUACAUAAAUUCUACCAAAAAAAGGACAAAUAAGGUAGCGUUCACGGGUUGUUUUAAAAAAAUACCCAUAGAGGGAUGAUUUCUUUGUGUUGGUCCUACUCAUUCUUGAAAAAUAAAAAUCCAACCUAGAACAGAUCUACCUCUCUUUGGCCCAGGAGUAUGUAUACUUUGCUGGAAAAUCGAGAGGAAUAUUGCUCUUGACUGUCGCUUCAACAGUGAGCAUGGCCGUAUCUUGUCCUCUGUAUUACCCUCCAGCGGUGAAUGUGUUUCUGGGUGCAUUUGUCUCUGCAGUUAUUUUGAUCGACAGUGGAAGUAUAGCUUAAGCUCCUUUGGCCAGAUCAUGAACUUUCCUGUACAGUGCUAGAAUUUUUAGAACAUGUGACAUUAAUGCAGACCUUCUGUUCCUUCAUUCUGCAAAAUCAACCUGCAAUUUUCCUUUAAAUACCUUUAUUUUUAUUAUCCAUAUUGCAGUCAACAAUUUGCACCAGAGUUUUCUUUAAGCCAUUUCUACCAAAUUGUCAUAAGAACAUAAACAGAAAGAUUACACCUCUGGGUGCCAUCCGUUUUCACCAUUCCACAGGAGUUUGGCUGAUCUCACCUCAUACCACCUUCUCCUAUCAAUCCAAUGCUCAUAAAUUUAAAAAAACACUAAAUUUCAUUACCAUUUAGUAGCAUUUCACUCAACAAAUGGUUCAAACAAUAUGUGAUUAAAACAGAAAUUGAACUAUUAUAAGCAUUAGUUUUUACAACAAGUGUUUUUCUUUCAGCAUUAUAUAACUGCAAGUUCACUCAGUGGCUCCCUCCUGUACCUGAUAAAGUAGCCAUAUUGUGCGUUCAGAGAUGCUCUUCUGCACAUCACUAAUGAAACAUGUGGUUAUUUCAGUUAUCGCCAUCCUUAUGGUAGCAUGAACCAAUCUUGCCAUUCUCCUCUGAUCUCUCUCAGUAGCAAGGCGUUUUUGCACACAGAACAACCGCUCACUGGAUUUUCAUGCACAGAACUGCUGCUCGCUCCCUUGCACCAUUCUCUGUGAACUCUAGAGAUUGCUUUGUGUGAAAAUCCCAGGAGAGCAGCAGUUUCAGAGAUACUCAAACCACCCCCUCUGGCACAAACAGUAAUUCCAUGAUCAGUCACUUGGAUCAUAUUUCUUCCGUAUUCUAAUGUUUGGUCUGAAUCUCUUGACCAUAUCAACAUGAAUGGCUGAUGAGAUAUUUACAUUAACAAGCAGUUGUAUAGGUAUACCUAAUGAGGUGGCCAUGGAGUGGACAUCUCUUCUAGUUGUCUUUGGUCACCUAGAAAUUUGGCUUGGUAUUGGCAUGUUAUUGUCACAUGUGCCAAGAUACAAUGAAAAGGUUCCUUGCAUAGAGUUCAUACGGAGCAUCGAUGGAGAACAACGUAACACAGUAACAAUGCAGAAUAAAGUGUAAAAGCUACAGAGAAAAUGCAAGUAAGCAAAGUGCAAGAUCAUAAUGAGGCAGACUGUGUGGUCAAUAGUUAAUUUUAUUGCACAAGAGGUCAGUUCAAGACUCUGAUGACAGUGGGAUAGAAGCUGUCCUUGAGCCUGGUGGUACAUGAUAAUGUAUCUUCUGCCCAAUGGGAGAGGGGAGAAGAGAGAAUGUCUGGGUGGGUGGGGUCUUUGAUUAUGCUGGCUGCUUUACUGAGGCAGUGGGAACUAUAGUCAGAGUCCAUAGAGGGAAGGCUGGUUUCUGGUGUGCUGUGCUGUGUCUACAAUUCUCACAUGCAGAGCAGUUACCAGACCAAACCGUUAUGUAUGUGUUCUACAGUGCAUUGAUAAAAAGUGGUAAGGGUCCUCUAUAGCCUCUUGAGGAAGCAGAAUCAUUGGUAAGCAUUUUUGGUUGUGCUAUCAGUAUGGUUGGGCCAGGACAGACUACUGAGGUUGUUCUCAACAUGCAGUCUUCUCAGUUUCAACACUGUUGAUGUGGACAUGCACUGCGCCCCCCCCCCCCCACCCAACCUUUGGAAGUCAAUAACCAACUCCACUUCUGGGUUUGAGCCACCCCUGUGCUUCUGAUUCAAUUAUCAGGUCAGAGCAACACACACAAAAUGCUGAAAGAACUCAGCAGGCCAGUCAGCAUCUAUGGAAAAGAGUACAGUCAAUGCUUCCGACUGAGUCCUACUGAAGGACUCCCCUUUAACCCCCCCCCCCCACCAUCGAUCCAAAUCACAUAAGUUCGAUUUGCUGAUCCACUACGUCACACCCACAAUUUUUUUGACAAUCCAUUCCACCUUCUUCUGCACUAUCAACAUUUCGAUUCCCCCAUCCCAAACUGGUCACCAACCUCCCUUUUCUUCCAAAGUGCCUGCCUCCUACUCCCUACCCUCAACUGUAAUCUGCCAUCUUCCUCCACUACCACCACCUUACACGCAGCAGAAUGCCAAAGUUAUCCACCACAUCCCCCUCCCCAACCCACUUCCUCAAUAUAAGCUGCUCCAGCUGUCCAAACCAGCCGGUGCCCAGCUGAAGCUUUCUCUCCCCACCCACCCCUCCCCCAGCUCAGAUGGCACCCGUUAGGAUGCCCUAAAGUUUCUACAUCGAUUCAUAGAGGAGUACAGCAUAGAAACAGCCUCUUCAGCUCGCCAAGUCUACAUUGGCCAUCAACUACUCACUUACAAUAAUCCUACAUUAAUCUCAUUCUAUUCUCCCUACUUACAGCACUCCACUGUAGUGUAACAGUUAGUGCAAUCACUUUACGGUCCCAGUGACCGCCAUUCCUGCCGCUGUCUGUAAGGAGUUUGCACGUCCUCCCCAUGACCACGUGGGUUUCCUCCAGAUGCUCCAGUUUCCUCCCGUAUUCCAAAGACAUACAGUGAGGGUUAGGGUUAGUAACGUGUAGGCAUGCUGGUGCCAGAAGUGCAGCGACACCUGCAACCUGCCCAGUUCAAUCCACGGACUGCACUGGUCUUUGACACAAACUGAUGCAUUUCACUGCAUGAUUCAUUGUACACUCAGUGGCCACUUUAUUAGGUACAGGAGUGGAACCCAGUGUGGUCCUCUGCUGCUGUAGCCCAUCCACUUCAAGGUAUGGCAUGUUGUGCACUCAGAGAUGCACUGUAGUUGUAUUGUGUGGUUACUUGUGUUACUAUCACCUUCCUAUCAGCCUGAAACGGACUGAGCAUUCUCCUCUGACCUCUCCCAUUAACAAGGCAUCUUUUGCCCACAGAACUGCCACUCACUGGAUGUUUUUUUUUUGCUUUUCACACCCUUCUCUGUAAACUCUAGCAACAGAUGUGCACAAAAAUCUUGGGAUAUCAGCAGCCUCUGAGAUAUUCAAACUACCUCAUCUGAUACCAACAAUUAUUCAGUCACUUAGAUCAUAUUUCAUGCUUAUUUUGAGGUUUGGUCAAAACAACAACUGAACCACUUGACCAUGUCUGCAUGUUUUUAUGCACUGAAUUGCUGGCCCAUGAUUUGCUGAUUAGAUAUUUGCAUUAACAAGGUGUACAGGUAUACCUAAUAAAGUGGCCAAUGAGUGUAUUUGUGGCAAGCAAAGCUAAUUUUCUUUCCCUUCAUCUCCUCCCAGAUUCUGUUGCUCAUCUGUGGCCAAUUAACCUAUUCAACAUGCACAUGUUCUGGAUGUGGGAGCGUGCAAGCUCAAUACAAGCAAAGCUCCACAGCGCUGUGAGGCGCUGUUCACAAAGUACACGUGCAGAGGGCCUACCAUCAUGUAGCAGCCAUCUGGGUAACAAAGAUUCACCCUUUUCGAUUUUAUAAACCUUUACCUAAAAAAAUUAAGAUAUGGAAUUAACUUUGCUCGACAGUAUUUACAUGCAAAAAAAAGCACAAAAUUCAUUUUCCACAACUUGCAUUUUCUCGAUGCACGUACAGAUGACAAAGCUUUUACAAAAAUAUCUCAACGUAGAGCAUUUUCUGG
Molecule: long non-coding RNA, 13383 nt
Organism: Hypanus sabinus (Atlantic stingray)
Lineage: Eukaryota; Metazoa; Chordata; Chondrichthyes; Myliobatiformes; Dasyatidae
Exons: 3
Source: RefSeq, a predicted model, not a curated record